UGACUGUACUAAGGUAGCAUAAUCAUUAGUUUUUUAAUUGGAGACUGGAAUGAAGGGUGAUAUUCGAGGAGAAUGUUUUAUUUAUUUAAUUUGAAUUUAAAUUAAAAGUAAAAAUGCUUUUAUCAAUCUUUGGGACGACAAGACCCUAGAAGUUUAAUAUUUGAUUUAUAAAUAUUUAGUUGGGGAGACUAAUGAAGAUGAGGAACUUUACAAGAAUAUAAAGAGUUGAUAAAAUUACUCUAGGGAUAACAGCGUUAUUUAGUUUUUAAGU
Molecule: ribosomal RNA, 271 nt
Filed under: Zepedanulus ishikawai
Lineage: Eukaryota; Metazoa; Arthropoda; Arachnida; Opiliones; Epedanidae
Description: partial 16S ribosomal RNA
Source: RNAcentral